AGCGUGGGAGGAGGCCAACUCUCGGGGCGCUCCCUAGCCCUGGGUGGGUGGAGCGGGGGAAGCGGAGUACGUUGGACCCGGCUCCGCCCUACCCCACGGGGCCGCCUGGAGAGGUGCUGGGAGCUGGGUGGAGCUUAGAGGAAUUAAACUUUGGCCCUGCGCCUCGUCCAGCCUAGGUUCCACCCUUUUCUGGGAACGCUCCGGUAGAUUGCAAAUGACCUGCUUUCUUUCUGUUCCCGGGCGUUUGGACCCCUGUCUUGGACCGCUGUCGGAUAGUAAAUCCCAAGUAAGGUACCUGCCGUCGGCAGAUUUGAGCUUUCUUCUUGGACACCUAAUACCCAGAGUCCUCCAGGCUCCGGUAGAUUGCAAAUGACCUGCUUUCUUUCUGUUCCCGGGUGGCAUCGACCCGUCGGAGAGUAAAUCCCAAGUAAGGUACCUGCCGUUGGCAGAUUUGAGCUUUCUUCUUGGACACCUAAUACCCACAGUCCUCCAGUAAAUCCCAAGCAAGGUACCUGCCGUCAGCAGAUUUGAGCUUUCUUCUUGGACACCUAAUACCCACAGUCCUCCAGGCUCCGGUAGAUUGCAAAUGACCUGCUUUCUUUCUGUUCCCGGGCUGCGUUCGGACCCCUGUCGGAUAGUAACUCCCAAGUAAGGUACCUGCCGUCGGCAGAUUGGAGCUUUCUUCUUGGAGACCUAAUACCCACAGUCCUCCAGGCUCCGGUAGAUUGCAAAUGACCUGCUUUCUUUCUGUUCCCGGGCUGCGUUCGGACCCCUGUCGGAGAGUAAAUCCGAAAAAAACAAACAAAGACAUGGAUUUACUGUGCAUAUUAGCAGAUCCAUACUGGAAAAUGCAUGGAGGUUUCAUAUACACCACUUACAGAUGCAGAAAGGCAGUGAACUCCUCCGGAGUAGCUGUCAGGUCACCAUUGAGGUCUGCAGCUUUGAAUCUUCUCUCAUCACGUGGCAGCAUCUUUUUAAAGGUGUGAUGAUCUGAAGAAUCAUGAAACUCUGCGGGGUUUCCUAGGUUUUCAGCUCCUCAGUAGUGACAAAGCCAUACCCAUCAUUGUCGAUUCGAUCAACAAUCUUCCCUAGCCUCUCCUUGCUCUCGUCCGGGGUGAGCUCGUCGAAGUUCUUGGAGUCCUCCUUGCCCAGGAAGGCCUCGUGGUCGUACUGGAAGCUCUGGUUGUCCUCAGGGGGCCGCUCGCCCAGCUCCGAGUCGGGCCGCACCACGCGCUCUUUGCGCACCGUGGGCUUGGCCCGCAGAACCCGCGGCGCCAGCACCAGCGCCAGCAGCAGCCCCAGGGCUAACCCCAGGCGGCCACCGCGCGCCAUCGUCCCGAGGAGAGGGCGGCCGGGAGGGAGACGCUGAGCGAGCGACAACAGCGGCAGCUCGGGAAUGGGGGCUCGGAGCGCGGCGGCCAAGUUUUAUGUUAUGUAUAUUUUACAAGUAAAAAAAUUUUUUCACCUCAGCCUGAACUGAACACUAGCUGACAGACGUUUUGAUUUCUUUGACCAUCACGGAAUCGUGGCCAAGCGCGGUGGCUCACAUCUGUAAUCCCAACACUUUGGGAGGUCAAGAUGGGCGGAUUGCUUGAAUCCAGGUGUUUGAGAUCAGCCUGGGCAACAUGACAAAACCCUGUUUCUAGUAAAAAUACAAAAAUUAACCAGGCUCAAGCCAUGACCAUGCACCAUUGCACUCC
Molecule: long non-coding RNA, 1700 nt
Filed under: Homo sapiens (human)
Lineage: Eukaryota; Metazoa; Chordata; Mammalia; Primates; Hominidae
Description: TPT1 antisense RNA 1
Source: RNAcentral